UUGGAGGGCAAGUCUGGUGCCAGCAGCCGCGGUAAUUCCAGCUCCAAUAGCGUAUAUUAAAGUUGUUGCAGUUAAAAAGCUCGUAGUUGAAUUUCGGGGUUAGUAGGUUGGUCAUGCCUCCGGUAUGUACUGGCCUCACUGACUCCUCCUUCCUGAUGAACCGUAAUGCCAUUAAUUUGGUGUUGCGGGGAAUUUGGACUGUUACUUUGAAAAAAUUAGAGUGUUUAAAGCAGGC
This 235-nucleotide ribosomal RNA is filed under the name uncultured Glomus. Its description in RNAcentral is "partial 18S ribosomal RNA". It matches the Rfam family "Eukaryotic small subunit ribosomal RNA", at positions 548 to 785 of the family's 1831-position model. Lineage: Eukaryota; Fungi; Glomeromycota; Glomeromycetes; Glomerales; Glomeraceae. The record is from RNAcentral.